Molecule: long non-coding RNA, 417 nt
Organism: Vicia villosa (hairy vetch)
Lineage: Eukaryota; Viridiplantae; Streptophyta; Magnoliopsida; Fabales; Fabaceae
Exons: 3
Source: RefSeq, a predicted model, not a curated record
AUAAUUUGACAAAGACACUUUUGUUUUGUCGCAUUUUGUCGGGGAUGUACAUCAGAUCUCAAUGCUUCUCAAGUUUCAAACGCCACAGUUGCUGCUUCACGUCGAUACCGCCCGUAAAGCUUCCGGACCAAUAUGAUGCUGUGACGAGCGUGUUGUUACUGUAUAUAGUUCGAGUGGCGAGACGAAUGCUCUUGAUGAUGGUGGUAAGAAUGUGUCUCAUGCGGAAGAUGCUUUGUUUAAGAUUCAUGAUAGAGUGAUUGCUGAGGAAUUACACAGUGAUCAGAGGAAGAAUGCGGUCCUCAAGUGACUGCUAGGAUGUUAGUGCCGGCUGAUCAGAUAGGAUGUGUUCUUGGAAAAAGCGGGCAGAUUGUUCAGACUAUGCGCAGUGAAACUGAGGCUCAUAUUCGUAUACUUAAG